GGUCCCCUUCGAGCAUGUACUAUGGGUAGAGAUCGAUAUGUGUUAUAGAGAUAGGAGUGUAGGGGUGUUGGUUCUAUCAUUUCGGAUGCAACAUUUUUGAUAUCAUCAAUCUGAUUUUAUGGGCUUUGGGGGUUGUCUAUUGCUUUAUUUGCUUGUCGUUAGCUAUUGCCGACGAUCACAGGAGUCGAGACUCUGCAUAAAAAUGAGGGUUAACCUUUCUUGUUAUACUGGCCA
RNAcentral lists this long non-coding RNA (234 nucleotides) under Elaeis guineensis (African oil palm). RNAcentral describes it as "long non-coding RNA (EGUI_LNC061474)". Lineage: Eukaryota; Viridiplantae; Streptophyta; Magnoliopsida; Arecales; Arecaceae. The record is from RNAcentral.